CUACGGGUGGCUGCAGUGAGGAAUAUUGCACAAUGGGGGCAACCCUGAUGCAGCAACGCCGCGUGUACGAUGACACAGUUUAUCUGCGUAAAGUACUGUUAACCGGGACGAAAAGAUGCAUGGACUGCAUUUAUAUGACGGUACCGGUAGAGGAAGCUCCGGCUAACUCCGUGCCAGCAGCCGCGGUAAUACGGGGGGAGCUAGCGUUGUCCGGCUUUAUUGGGCGUAAAGGGCAUGUAGGUGGGACUUUAAGUCAGUUGUUAAAUAUUACGGCUUAACUGUAUUAUGCAAUUGAUACUGGAGUUCUUGAGUAUGAGAGGGGACAGAGGAAUACCUGGUGUAGCGGUGGAAUGCGUAGAUAUUAGGUAGAACACCUGAGGCGAAGGCGUCUGUCUGGCUCAUUACUGACACUGAAAUGCGAAAGUAUGGGGAGCAAACAGGAUUAGAUACCCUCGUAGUC
Molecule: ribosomal RNA, 460 nt
Filed under: uncultured bacterium
Lineage: Bacteria
Description: partial 16S ribosomal RNA
Rfam family: Bacterial small subunit ribosomal RNA
Source: RNAcentral